Molecule: long non-coding RNA, 267 nt
Organism: Puntigrus tetrazona (Sumatra barb)
Lineage: Eukaryota; Metazoa; Chordata; Actinopteri; Cypriniformes; Cyprinidae
Exons: 3
Source: RefSeq, a predicted model, not a curated record
CAAACCUCCACCCGUAAAACAUUAGCUUACAGUCCAGGUUAUUGAGGACCUGAUGGCUUCUAUCCAUCUUCCAAGAAUACAGGUUAUUACAUGGUAUGCUGCUCUCACUUGGCUCCAGCUGACCACCAGCUGCUUCUUUAUACACACUCUCUUGCUAGGAUCCGUGGAGCCGCUAAACUGUUCCGAACCAACAACAAAAUCGCUCCUUAAUGCUAUGCGAGAGGAAGUCAUCCUCUACAGCGAUGCAAGGCCAGUGAUAAGUCUGAG